UGGGGAAUUUUCCGCAAUGGGCGCAAGACUGACGGAGCAAUACCGCGUGAGGGACGAAGGCUCUUGGGUCGUAAACCUCUUGUGUUAGGGAAGAAUACUGACGGGUCCUAAAGAAUAAGCAUCGGCUACCUCCGUGCCUGCAGCAGCGGUAAGACGGAGGAUGCAAGCGCUAUCCGGACUUAUUGGGCGUAAAGCGUCCGCGGGAGGUUGCACAGGUCGAUGGUCAAAGCGGGAGGCCCAACCUCGUAA
RNAcentral lists this ribosomal RNA (249 nucleotides) under uncultured organism. Its description in RNAcentral is "partial 16S ribosomal RNA". It matches the Rfam family "Bacterial small subunit ribosomal RNA", at positions 355 to 620 of the family's 1533-position model. The record is from RNAcentral.